Molecule: ribosomal RNA, 482 nt
Filed under: uncultured bacterium
Lineage: Bacteria
Description: partial 16S ribosomal RNA
Rfam family: Bacterial small subunit ribosomal RNA
Source: RNAcentral
GACGAACGCUGGCGGCGUGCUUAACACAUGCAAGUCGAACGAUGAAGAAGAGCUUGCUCUUCGGAUUAGUGGCGAACGGGUGAGUAACACGUGACUAACCUGCCCCUUUCUCUGGGAUAACGCUCCGAAAGGAGUGCUAAUACCGGAUACUCACAUCGAGGCACAUGCCUUGGUGUGGAAAGUUUUUCGGAAAGGGAUGGAGUCGCGGCCUAUCAGCUUGUUGGUGAGGUAACGGCUCACCAAGGCGACGACGGGUAGCCGGCCUGAGAGGGCGACCGGCCACACUGGGACUGAGACACGGCCCAGACUCCUACGGGAGGCAGCAGUGGGGAAUAUUGCACAAUGGGCGCAAGCCUGAUGCAGCGACGCCGCGUGAGGGAUGAAGGUCUUCGGAUUGUAAACCUCUUUCAGUAGGGACGAAGCGAAAGUGACGGUACCUAAAGAAGAAGCACCGGCUAACUACGUGCCAGCCGCCGCAGUAA